GCGGGAUUAGUACAGUGGCAGUACGCCACCUUGCCAAGGUGGAGGCGCGAGUUCGAUUCUCGUCUCCCGCUCCA
This 74-nucleotide transfer RNA is filed under the name Candidatus Harrisonbacteria bacterium. RNAcentral's name for it is "tRNA-Gly". It matches the Rfam family "tRNA". Rfam says of the family: Transfer RNA (tRNA) molecules are approximately 80 nucleotides in length. Their secondary structure includes four short double-helical elements and three loops (D, anti-codon, and T loops). The record is from RNAcentral. Lineage: Bacteria; Candidatus Harrisoniibacteriota.